UUACGUAAAUAUGAUACCAUAUCAUCCAAUCAUUAAUAGCAAUGCUUGAUUGGCCAAAAUUUUCAAUAUCAUUAAAUUUGGUACUUAAAUUGAUGGUUAUGAUAGUUGACUGGCGAAAUUAAUCCUUAUGAAAAAAUAGUACUUUUUUUUUUUUGUUAUCAAUCAUAUACUAAUUUUUUAAUCAAUGGUUUAUUACUAGUAUUAUUAUCAUGCAUUAUAAUUUUAAAAUUAUUAAUCUUAUUAUUACAAAAUUUACAAUCAAUUUUACUAUUAUAGUUUCUAUUAGAGGUGCUCAUGGGCCGGGCUGGGCCCAAAAAAAUUUUCAACCCGC
RNAcentral lists this long non-coding RNA (331 nucleotides) under Gossypium barbadense (sea-island cotton). RNAcentral's name for it is "long non-coding RNA (GBAR_LNC014040)". Lineage: Eukaryota; Viridiplantae; Streptophyta; Magnoliopsida; Malvales; Malvaceae. The record is from RNAcentral.